RNAcentral lists this ribosomal RNA (433 nucleotides) under uncultured bacterium. RNAcentral describes it as "partial 16S ribosomal RNA". It matches the Rfam family "Bacterial small subunit ribosomal RNA", at positions 29 to 507 of the family's 1533-position model. The record is from RNAcentral.
AACGGACGCUGGCGGCAUGCCUAACACAUGCAAGUCGAACGAGACCUUCGGGUCUAGUGGCGCACGGGUGCGUAACGCGUGGGAACCUGCCCUUAGGUUCGGAAUAACUCCCCGAAAGGGGUGCUAAUACCGGAUAAUGUCUUCGGACCAAAGAUUUAUCGCCUUUGGAUGGGCCCGCGUUGGAUUAGCUAGUUGGUAGGGUAAAAGCCUACCAAGGCGACGAUCCAUAGCUGGUCUGAGAGGAUGAUCAGCCACACUGGGACUGAGACACGGCCCAGACUCCUACGGGAGGAAGCAGUGGGGAAUAUUGGACAAGGGGCGAAAGCCUGAUCCAGCAAUGCCGCGUGAGUGAUGAAGGCCUUAGGGUUGUAAAGCUCUUUUACCCGGGAUGAUAAUGACAGUACCGGGAGAAUAAGCGCCGGAUAACUCCGUG